Molecule: transfer RNA, 73 nt
Organism: Lichtheimia corymbifera
Lineage: Eukaryota; Fungi; Mucoromycota; Mucoromycetes; Mucorales; Lichtheimiaceae
Rfam family: tRNA
About the family: Transfer RNA (tRNA) molecules are approximately 80 nucleotides in length. Their secondary structure includes four short double-helical elements and three loops (D, anti-codon, and T loops).
Source: Rfam
GCCUCCUUGGCUUAGUUGGCAGAGCGUUGGUCUUGUAAACCAAAGGUCCCGUGUUCGAUUCACGGAGGGGGCA